Struthio camelus australis is the source of this 254-nucleotide non-coding RNA. The record is from RefSeq and is a predicted model, not a curated record. NCBI's taxonomy places the organism in Eukaryota, Metazoa, Chordata, Aves, Struthioniformes, Struthionidae.
CCUAAAUCAGGUCCACCUAGCCUAGUAUCCUAUCUCCCACAGUAACCAUAGUCUGGCAUCCAGAGAAGCAUAAAAAAGCAAGGGGGACUGCCUAUCAGUGAUAUGAAGAAACCUUCAUGAAGGUCACACAAAGGACACCUUGGCUGAGGGGAAAUCUUCAUCCCAAAUAUAUUAUGACCGUCGUCUUCCACUGAAAUCGUUGCAAAAAGGUGAUGGGCGUUUCCACCAGGCCGGGAGCCACCCGGGAGGGCGCC